UCAUCACAGCAGGAGCCGUGAGGCAAGAAGCUCUGGGAUCAAUUAAAAUGCCAGGCUUUUCCAGGCUGGUUUCCAGAGCAUCUGUGCAUGAUUCCACAUAAAUUUAGGGAAUUAGAGAUCAGACAAAGGAUAUGAAGAAUAGUUUCCUCUAUUCAAGAAUAACAGACACUUAAUGAAAGGAAUGACAAGCAAUGCCAUCCCCCUUGGGCACAGACCUCACUAUGUGGGAACAUGUCAGCCCCAGAUUUGGGUCCACUGGAGAGAACAGAGAAAGAAGAAAAACACAGUAUUUCCCUCAGCCUCAGAAUCAGGCAACUGCUUGCAAGUCAGAAGAUACAAUGCUUUUUUCAGAAAACAAGAAUGUUCUGCCUAUGCACUCAGGUUACAAGAUGGCUGCUGAAUCUGUUGGCCACCAUUUAGGGGGAUUGAGUAGGAGCUUUCUUCCCAGAAAUUUCCAGCUGAUUCCCUCCAAUAUCUCUUUGGUGACAGUGGAAAGAAGAAAAGAAGAGUAACCGACAUAGGUUACGAAUCCCAGAGAUAUCCGCUUACAGAGAGGCCCAAUCCAACUCAGCAAUAUGACCACAACAUCUUGAAAUCUUAGAAGUCUUUGGGCUUGGGUCUCUGUUGCUGUUUAUUCAGCUGAUUCUCCACUCUUACUGUGAAAUGUGAAACUUUUGAAAAAAAAAUAAUAUUUGGGCAGCUUGAAAUCUUCAAUGUAGGCCAAAAAAUGUCAGGGUUAGGUUUUCCCUUUUGGAGACCAAAUUGACAAUCUUAUCUUGUUCCUGUUCCCAUCUUUGCUCCAGGUGUACAAAUAAUGUCCAGCUCCAUAAUAUACUUUUGUAAAGUAUUUUCAUUUCCCAAAUUGUCGGUAUCAUCUCACUUAGGCUUCCCAGCAAUGCCUCAGUCUCAGCAGCAGCACCCCCACUGUUGACUGAUGAGGAAAUCAAGGCCUAAGAGGAAUUCAGUGACUCUCCUCCAAGAUCAUAUAAUGAGCAAAGGGGAAGCCCGAUUAAAAAAACAACUGAACAGCAACGACGACAGAGCAGAUUUUCUGAGUCAUUCCCUCUCUCAAUUAUUUUUACCAAAUAUUGAUGUGUGCUUUCCAGCUGUACCAAGU
Odocoileus virginianus texanus is the source of this 1117-nucleotide long non-coding RNA. RefSeq lists it as uncharacterized. The record is from RefSeq and is a predicted model, not a curated record. NCBI's taxonomy places the organism in Eukaryota, Metazoa, Chordata, Mammalia, Artiodactyla, Cervidae.